AACGGCUCACCAAGCCUAUGACGGGUAACUGGUCUGAGAGGAUGGCCAGUCAGAGGGAAACUGAGACACGGUUCCCACUUCUACGGAAGGCAGCAGUAAAGAAUCUUCCACAAUGGACGAAAGUCUGAUGGAGCGACACCGCGUGAAGGAUGAAGGCCCUUGGGUCGUAAACUUCUUUUUUGGGGGAAAAAUUCUGAUUGUACCCUAAGAAUAAGCACCGGCAAAUCACGUGCCAGCAGCCGCGGUAAUACGUGAGGUGCAAACGUUACCCGGAAUUAUUGGGCGUAAAGCGUCCGCAGGUGGCAAAGCAAGUUAGGUGUUAAAUCUUGAGGCUCAACUUCAAGACUGUGCUUAAAACUACUUUGCUAGAGAUUAGGAGAGGUGAGUGGAAUUCUGCAUGUAGGGGUAAAAUCCGUAGAUAUGCAGAGGAACACCAAAAGCGAAGGCAGCUCACUGGCCUAUAUCUGACACUCAUGGACGAAAGCGUAGGUAGCAAACGGGAUUAGAUACCCCGGUAGUCUACGCCGUAAACGAUGAUCACUCGAUGUCGGGAGUUCGACCCUCUCGGUGUCUAAGCAAACGCGAUAAGUGAUCCGCCUGAGAACUACGAUCGCAAGAUUAAAACUCAAAGGAAUAGACGGGGACCCACACAAGCGGUGGAGCGUGUGGUUUAAUUCGAUAGUAAGCGAGGAACCUUACCAGGGUUUGACAUCUCGGGAAUUUUCUGGAAACAGAGAAGUGCCGCAAGGAACCCGAAGACAGGUGUUGCAUGGUUGUCGUCAGCUCGUGCCUUGAGGUGUUCGGUUAAGUCCGUAAACGAGCGCAACCCACGUCCUUAGUUGUAUUUUUCUAAGGAGACUGCCUUGCAUAACAAGGAGGAAGGUGUGGAUGACGUCAAAUCAGCAUGACCCUUAUACUCUGGGCGACACACGCGCUACAAUGGCCGGUACAACGGGCAGCCAAGGAGUGAUCCGGAGCGAAUCCCUAAAACCGGUCCAAGUUCGGAUUGAAGGCUGCAACUCGCCUUCAUGAAGCUGGAAUCGCUAGUAAAUGUGUAUCA
This 1060-nucleotide ribosomal RNA is filed under the name uncultured bacterium. RNAcentral describes it as "bacterial SSU rRNA". It matches the Rfam family "Bacterial small subunit ribosomal RNA", at positions 259 to 1351 of the family's 1533-position model. The record is from RNAcentral.